RNAcentral lists this ribosomal RNA (2762 nucleotides) under Escherichia coli. Its description in RNAcentral is "bacterial LSU rRNA". It matches the Rfam family "Bacterial large subunit ribosomal RNA". Lineage: Bacteria; Pseudomonadati; Pseudomonadota; Gammaproteobacteria; Enterobacterales; Enterobacteriaceae. RNAcentral also lists the same sequence under 1 other name. The record is from RNAcentral.
CACACUAUCAUUAACUGAAUCCAUAGGUUAAUGAGGCGAACCGGGGGAACUGAAACAUCUAAGUACCCCGAGGAAAAGAAAUCAACCGAGAUUCCCCCAGUAGCGGCGAGCGAACGGGGAGGAGCCCAGAGCCUGAAUCAGUGUGUGUGUUAGUGGAAGCGUCUGGAAAGGCGCGCGAUACAGGGUGACAGCCCCGUACACAAAAAUGCACAUGCUGUGAGCUCGAUGAGUAGGGCGGGACACGUGGUAUCCUGUCUGAAUAUGGGGGGACCAUCCUCCAAGGCUAAAUACUCCUGACUGACCGAUAGUGAACCAGUACCGUGAGGGAAAGGCGAAAAGAACCCCGGCGAGGGGAGUGAAAAAGAACCUGAAACCGUGUACGUACAAGCAGUGGGAGCCUCUUAAUGGGGUGACUGCGUACCUUUUGUAUAAUGGGUCAGCGACUUAUAUUCUGUAGCAAGGUUAACCGAAUAGGGGAGCCGAAGGGAAACCGAGUCUUAACUGGGCGUUAAGUUGCAGGGUAUAGACCCGAAACCCGGUGAUCUAGCCAUGGGCAGGUUGAAGGUUGGGUAACACUAACUGGAGGACCGAACCGACUAAUGUUGAAAAAUUAGCGGAUGACUUGUGGCUGGGGGUGAAAGGCCAAUCAAACCGGGAGAUAGCUGGUUCUCCCCGAAAGCUAUUUAGGUAGCGCCUCGUGAAUUCAUCUCCGGGGGUAGAGCACUGUUUCGGCAAGGGGGUCAUCCCGACUUACCAACCCGAUGCAAACUGCGAAUACCGGAGAAUGUUAUCACGGGAGACACACGGCGGGUGCUAACGUCCGUCGUGAAGAGGGAAACAACCCAGACCGCCAGCUAAGGUCCCAAAGUCAUGGUUAAGUGGGAAACGAUGUGGGAAGGCCCAGACAGCCAGGAUGUUGGCUUAGAAGCAGCCAUCAUUUAAAGAAAGCGUAAUAGCUCACUGGUCGAGUCGGCCUGCGCGGAAGAUGUAACGGGGCUAAACCAUGCACCGAAGCUGCGGCAGCGACACUAUGUGUUGUUGGGUAGGGGAGCGUUCUGUAAGCCUGUGAAGGUGGCCUGUGAGGGUUGCUGGAGGUAUCAGAAGUGCGAAUGCUGACAUAAGUAACGAUAAAGCGGGUGAAAAGCCCGCUCGCCGGAAGACCAAGGGUUCCUGUCCAACGUUAAUCGGGGCAGGGUGAGUCGACCCCUAAGGCGAGGCCGAAAGGCGUAGUCGAUGGGAAACAGGUUAAUAUUCCUGUACUUGGUGUUACUGCGAAGGGGGGACGGAGAAGGCUAUGUUGGCCGGGCGACGGUUGUCCCGGUUUAAGCGUGUAGGCUGGUUUUCCAGGCAAAUCCGGAAAACCAAGGCUGAGGCGUGAUGACGAGGCACUACGGUGCUGAAGUGACAAAUGCCCUGCUUCCAGGAAAAGCCUCUAAGCAUCAGGUAACAUCAAAUCGUACCCCAAACCGACACAGGUGGUCAGGUAGAGAAUACCAAGGCGCUUGAGAGAACUCGGGUGAAGGAACUAGGCAAAAUGGUGCCGUAACUUCGGGAGAAGGCACGCUGAUAUGUAGGUGAAGCGACUUGCUCGUGGAGCUGAAAUCAGUCGAAGAUACCAGCUGGCUGCAACUGUUUAUUAAAAACACAGCACUGUGCAAACACGAAAGUGGACGUAUACGGUGUGACGCCUGCCCGGUGCCGGAAGGUUAAUUGAUGGGGUUAGCGGUAACGCGAAGCUCUUGAUCGAAGCCCCGGUAAACGGCGGCCGUAACUAUAACGGUCCUAAGGUAGCGAAAUUCCUUGUCGGGUAAGUUCCGACCUGCACGAAUGGCGUAAUGAUGGCCAGGCUGUCUCCACCCGAGACUCAGUGAAAUUGAACUCGCUGUGAAGAUGCAGUGUACCCGCGGCAAGACGGAAAGACCCCGUGAACCUUUACUAUAGCUUGACACUGAACAUUGAGCCUUGAUGUGUAGGAUAGGUGGGAGGCUUUGAAGUGUGGACGCCAGUCUGCAUGGAGCCGACCUUGAAAUACCACCCUUUAAUGUUUGAUGUUCUAACGUUGGCCCCUAAUCGGGGUUGCGGACAGUGUCUGGUGGGUAGUUUGACUGGGGCGGUCUCCUCCUAAAGAGUAACGGAGGAGCACGAAGGUUGGCUAAUCCUGGUCGGACAUCAGGAGGUUAGUGCAAUGGCAUAAGCCAGCUUGACUGCGAGCGUGACGGCGCGAGCAGGUGCGAAAGCAGGUCAUAGUGAUCCGGUGGUUCUGAAUGGAAGGGCCAUCGCUCAACGGAUAAAAGGUACUCCGGGGAUAACAGGCUGAUACCGCCCAAGAGUUCAUAUCGACGGCGGUGUUUGGCACCUCGAUGUCGGCUCAUCACAUCCUGGGGCUGAAGUAGGUCCCAAGGGUAUGGCUGUUCGCCAUUUAAAGUGGUACGCGAGCUGGGUUUAGAACGUCGUGAGACAGUUCGGUCCCUAUCUGCCGUGGGCGCUGGAGAACUGAGGGGGGCUGCUCCUAGUACGAGAGGACCGGAGUGGACGUAUCACUGGUGUUCGGGUUGUCAUGCCAAUGGCACUGCCCGGUAGCUAAAUGCGGAAGAGAUAAGUGCUGAAAGCAUCUAAGCACGAAACUUGCCCCGAGAUGAGUUCUCCCUGAGACUUAGAGUCUCCUGAAGGAACGUUGAAGACGACGACGUUGAUAGGCCGGGUGUGUAAGCGCAGCGAUGCGUUGAGCUAACCGGUACUAAUGAACCGUGAGGCUUAACCUU